GGGGUUGUGAAUCAGUGGUAGAGCGCUUGCCUAGCACGCAUGAGGCACUGGGUUCGAUCCUCAGCACCACA
This 71-nucleotide transfer RNA is filed under the name Marmota monax (woodchuck). RNAcentral describes it as "tRNA.Ala". Lineage: Eukaryota; Metazoa; Chordata; Mammalia; Rodentia; Sciuridae. The record is from RNAcentral.